RNAcentral lists this ribosomal RNA (253 nucleotides) under uncultured bacterium. Its description in RNAcentral is "partial 16S ribosomal RNA". It matches the Rfam family "Bacterial small subunit ribosomal RNA", at positions 524 to 776 of the family's 1533-position model. The record is from RNAcentral.
UACGUAGGGUGCAAGCGUUAAUCGGAAUUACUGGGCGUAAAGCGUGCGUAGGCGGUUGGCAAAGUCAGCUGUGAAAGCCCCGGGCUUAACCUGGGAAUGGCAUUUGGGACUGCAAGGCUUGAGUGCGGCAGAGGAGACUGGAAUUCCUGGUGUAGCAGUGAAAUGCGUAGAUAUCAGGAGGAACACCGAUGGCGAAGGCAGGUCUCUGGGCUGACACUGACGCUCAUGCACGAAAGCGUGGGGAGCAAACAGG